This 1026-nucleotide ribosomal RNA is filed under the name Triticum aestivum (bread wheat). Its description in RNAcentral is "partial small subunit ribosomal RNA". The record is from RNAcentral. Lineage: Eukaryota; Viridiplantae; Streptophyta; Magnoliopsida; Poales; Poaceae.
AUGCUUUCACAACUUGACUUCAAAAUAUUUGGUUUGGAGACCAUCAAAGAUCAAUAUGUGCAUGAUGCUGAUUUUAAAGAUGUAAUGCAUAAUUGUAAAGAAGGAAGAAUGUGGAACAAGUUUGUUGUUAACGAUGGAUUUGUGUUUCGUGCUAACAAGCUAUGCAUUCCAGCUAGCUCCGUUCGUCUUUUGUUGUUGCAGGAGGCGCAUGGAGGAGGAUUAAUGGGACACUUUGGCGUGAAGAAGACGGAGGACAUACUUGCUACACAUUUCUUUUGGCCAAAGAUGAGACGGGAUGUUGAGCGGGCUGUUUUGAAGAAUAAUAAGAAAAUGUGGGAGGAAUGCUUGCCUCAUAUUGAAUUUGCUUAUAAUCGUUCAUUGCAUUCUACUACUAAGAUGUGCCCUUUUGAAGUUGUGUAUGGUUUUCUACCUCGUGCACCUAUUGAUUUGUUGCCUCUUCCAUCUUCGGAGAAGGUUAAUUUUGAUGCUAAACAACGUGCUGAAUUGAUUUUAAAAAUGCAUGAGUUAUCUAAGGAAAACAUUGAGCGUAUGAAUGCUAAAUAUAAACUUGCUGGAGAUAAGGGUAGAAAACAUGUUGUGUUUGCACCUGGAGAUCUUGUUUGGUUACAUUUGCGUAAGGAUAGAUUUCCUGAUUUGCGCAAAUCAAAGUUAAUGCCACGUGCUGAUGGUCCCUUUAAGGUGUUAGAGAAAAUAAAUGAUAAUGCAUAUAAACUUGAGCUGCCUGCAGAUUUUGGGGUUAGUCCCACUUUUAACAUUGCAGAUUUGAAGCCUUAUUUGGGUGAGGAAGAUGAACUUCCGUCGAGGACGACUUCAUUUCAAGAAGGGGAGGAUGAUGAGGACAUCAAUACAAUUGUUACACCCACAGCCCCUGCUGCUAUACAUACUGGACCAAUUACUAGAGCUCGUGCACGCCAACUAAAUUACCAGGAAACAGACCCUCGUGGUCAGGUUGAUCGUGCUCCGGCGUGGUCAAUAACAUCUCGGAGUUGGUUUAGCGAUUGCUAA